ACGGGUGCGUAACGCGUAUGCAAUCUACCUUAUACAGGGGAGUAGCCCAGAGAAAUUUAGGAUUAAUACCCACUAGUAUAAUUGAAUGGCAUCAUUUAAUUAUUAAAGUUCCAACGGUAUAAGAUGAGCAUGCGUCCCAUUAGCUAGUUGGUGUGGUAACGGCACACCAAGGCGACGAUGGGUAGGGGUCCUGAGAGGAGAUCCCCCACACUGGUACUGAGACACGGACCAGACUCCUACGGGAGGCAGCAGUGAGGAAUAUUGGUCAAUGGGCGCAAGCCUGAACCAGCCAUGCCGCGUGCAGGAUGACGGUCCUAUGGAUUGUAAACUGCUUUUGUACAGGAAGAAACACUCCCUCGUGAGGGAGCUUGACGGUACUGUAAGAAUAAGGAUCGGCUAACUCCGUG
RNAcentral lists this ribosomal RNA (407 nucleotides) under uncultured bacterium. RNAcentral's name for it is "bacterial SSU rRNA". It matches the Rfam family "Bacterial small subunit ribosomal RNA", at positions 102 to 507 of the family's 1533-position model. The record is from RNAcentral.